GAGAUUGAGAGUUUGAUCCUGGCUCAGGACGAACGCUGGCGGCGUGCCUAACACAUGCAAGUCGAACGGAGCGAUAUUUGACACGGAUUUUUCAUUAUAGAAUGAGGAAUGCGUGUUGAAUAUUGCUUAGUGGCGGACGGGUGAGUAACGCGUGAGCAACCUGCCUUUCAGAGGGGGAUAACACAGGGAAACCUGUGCUAAUACCGCAUAACAUUACUUUGUGGCAUCACAGAGUAAUCAAAGGAGAAAUCCGCUGAGAGAUGGGCUCGCGUCUGAUUAGAUAGUUGGUGAGGUAAUGGCUCACCAAGUCUACGAUCAGUAGCCGGACUGAGAGGUCGAACGGCCACAUUGGGACUGAGAUACGGCCCAGACUCCUACGGGAGGCAGCAGUGGGGAAUAUUGGGCAAUGGGGGAAACCCUGACCCAGCAACGCCGCGUGAAGGAAGAAGGUCUUCGGAUUGUAAACUUUUGUCUUCUGAGAAGAAAAAAAUGACGGUAUCAGAAGAGGAAGCCACGGCUAACUACGUGCCAGCAGCCGCGGUAAUACGUAGGUGGCGAGCGUUGUCCGGAAUUACUGGGUGUAAAGGGUGCGUAGGCGGGAAGUAAAGUCAGAUGUGAAAUACCUAGGCUUAACCUUGGGGGUGCAUUUGAAACUUACAUUCUUGAGUGAAGUAGAGGCAAGCGGAAUUCCCAGUGUAGCGGUAAAAUGCGUAGAUAUUGGGAGGAACACCAGUGGCGAAGGCGGCUUGCUGGGCUUUAACUGACGCUGAGGCACGAAAGCAUGGGGAGCAAACAGGAUUAGAUACCCUGGUAGUCCAUGCUGUAAACGAUGGAUACUAGGUGUGGGGGGGUACUGACCCCCCCCCGUGCCGGAGUUAACACAAUAAGUAUCCCACCUGGGGAGUACGGUCGCAAGACUAAAACUCAAAGGAAUUGACGGGGGCCCGCACAAGCAGUGGAGUAUGUGGUUUAAUUCGAAGCAACGCGAAGAACCUUACCAGGUCUUGACAUCCUACUAACGAGGCAGAGAUGCGUUAGGUACCUUUCGGGGGAAGUAGAGACAGGUGGUGCAUGGUUGUCGUCAGCUCGUGUCGUGAGAUGUUGGGUUAAGUCCCGCAACGAGCGCAACCCUUACGGUUAGUUGAUACGCAAGAUCACUCUAGCCGGACUGCCGUUGACAAAACGGAGGAAGGUGGGGACGACGUCAAAUCAUCAUGCCCCUUAUGACCUGGGCUACACACGUACUACGAUGGCGCUUAACAAAGGGGAGCAAAAUAGUGAUAUGGAGCAAAUCCCAAAAAAGCGUCUCAGUUCAGAUUGCAGGCUGAAACUCGCCUGCAUGAAGUCGGAAUUGCUAGUAAUCGCGAAUCAUCAUGUCGCGGUGAAUACGUUCCCGGGCCUUGUACACACCGCCCGUCAAACCAUGAGAGUUGGGAACACCCGAAGUCCGUAGUCUAACCGCAGCGAAUUUAUUCGCCGGAGGACACGGCCGAAGGUGGGCCUGAUGAUUAGGGUUAAGUCGUAACAAGGUAGCCGUA
RNAcentral lists this ribosomal RNA (1538 nucleotides) under uncultured bacterium. Its description in RNAcentral is "bacterial SSU rRNA". It matches the Rfam family "Bacterial small subunit ribosomal RNA". The record is from RNAcentral.